UCAAAAACAUGUCUUAUAGAAAAUAAUUUUAAGUCAAAUCUGCCCAAUGAAAUUUUUAAUGGCUGCAGUAUUAAUAACUGUACAAAGGUAGCAUAAUAAAUAGUUUUUUAAUUAAAAACUAGAAUGAAUGAUUUAAUGAAAUAUAAACUAUAUAAAAAUAAUUAAUAUUUAAAUUUAAAAUUUAAGUAAAAAUUCUUAAAUUUAAUUAAUAGACGAUAAGACCCUAUAGAAUUUUAUAAUAAAAUAUUUUAAAAAUAAAUUUAUUAUUUAAUUGGGGUAAUUUUAAAAUUAAAUAAACUUUUAAUAUUAAAACAUUAAUAAAUGAUUUAAAAAUCCUAAAUUUUAGAUUUUUAAAAUAAAUUACCUUAG
This 369-nucleotide ribosomal RNA is filed under the name Ephedrus lacertosus. RNAcentral's name for it is "partial 16S ribosomal RNA". Lineage: Eukaryota; Metazoa; Arthropoda; Insecta; Hymenoptera; Braconidae. The record is from RNAcentral.